ACGGAGGGAGCUAGCGUUGUUCGGAAUUACUGGGCGUAAAGCGUGCGUAGGCGGUCUUUUAAGUCAGGGGUGAAAUCCCGGAGCUCAACUCCGGAACUGCCCUUGAAACUAGAAGACUAGAAUCAUGGAGAGGUGAGUGGAAUUCCGAGUGUAGAGGUGAAAUUCGUAGAUAUUCGGAAGAACACCAGUGGCGAAGGCGACUCACUGGACAUGUAUUGACGCUGAGGUACGAAAGCGUGGGGAGCAAACAGG
Molecule: ribosomal RNA, 252 nt
Filed under: uncultured bacterium
Lineage: Bacteria
Description: partial 16S ribosomal RNA
Rfam family: Bacterial small subunit ribosomal RNA
Source: RNAcentral